This is a long non-coding RNA of Aphis gossypii (cotton aphid), 4145 nucleotides long. RefSeq lists it as uncharacterized. Lineage: Eukaryota; Metazoa; Arthropoda; Insecta; Hemiptera; Aphididae. The transcript has 3 exons. The record is from RefSeq and is a predicted model, not a curated record.
UGCAACUGAUUUAUGAAUCUACAUGCAUAAGAUUGUAAAAAAUUUAAGUAUUAUUUUUUGUGUUGGGACAACGUCCACUUAUUGACCGAUUUUUCCAAAACAACUAGUUUUACGUAUAUUUCACAAAGUAAAAAAAACGUUAUCAUUUAAAAAGACAUUAUUAACUUUUAAGAAACGCCGACGUAUCAUUAAUGCAAAAAAUAUUAUGGAAUAUCUCAAAGUUGAAUGUGAAAGGCCACGAAAAACCGUUAAUCAUUGGAAAAAUCAAAUUUUAUACAUCAUUUGGACAAAAUACAAGUUUUGACUAUUAAAAUUAAAAAAAAUGAUCUUACACAAUUGAUACAUGAAUCUACAUGCAUAAGAUUGUAAAAAAUUUUAGUAUUAUUUUUUAUGGUGGUCUCACGCCCGCUUAUUGACCGAUUUUUCCAAAACAACUAGUUUUACGUAUAUUUCACAAAGUAAAAAAAGCUUUAUCAUUUUAAAAAUACAUUAUUAACUUUUAAGAAACGCCGACGUAUCAUUUAUGCAAAAAAUAUUAUGGAAUAUCUCAAAAUUGAAUGUGAAAGGCCACGAAAAACCGUUUUUCUUUGGAAAAAUCACAUUUUAUGCAUCAUUUGGACAAACUACAAGUUUUGACUAUUAAAAUUAAAAAAAAUUAUCUUACACAAUUGAUUUAUGAAUCUACAUGCAUAAGAUUGUAAAAAAAUUAAGUAUAAUUUUUUAUGGUGGUCUCACGCCCGCUUAUUGACCGAUUUUUCCAAAACAACUAGUUUUACGUAUAUUUCACAAAGUAAGAAAAGCGUUAAAAAUACAUUAUUAAAUUUUAAGAAACGCCGACGUAUCAUUUAUGCAACAAAUAUUAUGGAAUAUCUCAAAGUUGAAUGUGAAAGGCCACGAAAAACCGUUUUUCUUUCGAAAAAUCACAUUUUAUGCAUCAUUUGGACAGACAACAAGUUUUUACUAUUAAAAUUAAAAAAAAUAAUCUUACACAAUUGAUUUAUGAAUCUACAUGCAUAAGAUUGUAAAAAAUUUUAAGUAUUAUUUUUUAUGGUGGUCUCACGCCCGCUUAUUGACCGAUUUUUCCAAAACAACUAGUUUUACGUAUAUUUCACAAAGUAAAAAAAGCGUUAAAAAUACAUUAUUAAAUUUUAAGAAACGCCGACGUAUCAUUUAUACAACAAAUAUUAUGGAAUAUCUCAAAGUUGAAUGUGAAAGGCCCCGAAAAACCGUUUUUCUUUGGAAAAAUCACAUUUUAUACAUCGUUUGGACAAAGAACAAAUUUUGACUAUUAAAAUUUAACAAUUAUUAUCCUAUGCAACUGAUUUAUGAAUCUACAUGCAUAAGAUUGUAAAAAACUUAAGUAUUAUUUUUUAUGGUGGUCUCACGCCCGCUUAUUGACCGAUUUUUCCAAAACAACUAGUUUUACAUAUAUAUUUCACAAAGUAAAAAAAGCUUUAUCAUUUUAAAUAUACAUUAUUAACUUUUAAGAAACGCCGACGUAUCAUUUAUGCAAAUAAUAAUAUGAAAUAUCUCAAAAUUGAAUGUGAAAGGCCACGAAAAACCGUUAAUCUUUGGAAAAAUCACAUUUUAUACAUCGUUUGGACAAAGAACAAAUUUUGACUAUUAAAAUUUAACAAUUAUUAUCUUAUGCAACUGAUUUAUGAAUCUACAUGCAUAAGAUUGUAAAAAAUUUAAGUAUUAUUUUUUGUGUUGGGACAACGUCCACUUAUUGACCGAUUUUUCCAAAACAACUAGUUUUACGUAUAUUUCACAAAGUAAAAAAAACGUUAUCAUUUAAAAAGACAUUAUUAACUUUUAAGAAUCGCCGACGUAUCAUUAAUGCAAAAAAUAUUAUGGAAUAUCUCAAAGUUGAAUGUGAAAGGCCACGAAAAACCGUUAAUCAUUGGAAAAAUCAAAUUUUAUACAUCAUUUGGACAAACUACAAGUUUUGACUAUUAAAAUUAAAAAAAAUGAUCUUACACAAUUCAUUUAUGAAUCUACAUGCAUAAGAUUGUAAAAAAUUUAAGUAUUAUUUUUUGUGUUGGGACAACGUCCACUUAUUGACCGAUUUUUCAAAAACAACUAGUUUUACGAAUAUUUCACAAAGUAAAAAAAACGUUGUCAUUUUAAAAAUACAUUAUUAACUUUUAAGAAACAACGACGUAUCAUUUAUGCAAAAUAUAUUAUGAAAUAUCUCAAAAUUGAAUGUGAAAGGGCACGGAAAUCCGUUUUCUUUUGGAAAAAUCACAUUUUAUGCAUCAUUUGGACAAACUACAAGUUUUGACUAUUAAAAUUAUAAAAAUGAUCUUACACAAUUCCUUCAUGAAUCUACAUGCAUAAGAUUGUAAAAAAUUUAAGUAUUAUUUUUUGUGUUGGGACAACGCCCGCUUAUUGACCGAUUUUUCCAAAACAACUAGUUUUACGUAUAUUUCACAAAGUAAAAAAAGCGUUAAAAAUACAUUAUUAAAUUUUAAGAAACGCCGACGUAUCAUUUGUGCAAAAAAUAUUAUGAAAUAUCUCAAAAUUGAAUGUGAAAGGGCACGGAAAACCGUUUUUUUUGGAAAAAUCACAUUUUAUGCAUCAUUUGGACAAACUACAAGUUUUGACUAUUAUAAUUAAAAAAAAAUGAUCUUACACAAUUGAUGUAUGAAUCUACAUGCAAAAGAUUGUAAAAAAUUUAAGUAUUAUUUUUUAUGGUGGUCUCACGCCCGCUUAUUGACCGAUUUUUCCAAAACAACUAGUUAUACGUAUAUUUCACAAAGUAAAAAAAACCUUUAUCAUUUUAAAAAUACAUUAUUAACUUUUAAGAAACGCCGACGUAUCAUUUAUGCAAAAAAUAUUAUGGAAUAUCUCAAAAUUGAAUGUGAAAGGCCACGGAAAACCGUUAAUCUUUGGAAAAAUCACAUUUUAUGCAUCGUUUGGACAAAGUACAAGUUUUGACUAUUAAAAUUUAACAAUUGUUAUCUUAUGCAACUGAUUUAUGAAUCUACAUGCAUAAGAUUGUAAAAAAUUUAAAUAUUAUUUUUUGUGUUGGGACCACGUCCACUUAUUGACCGAUUUUUCCAAAACAACUAGUUAUACGUAUAUUUCACAAAGUAAAAAAAACUUUACCAUUUUAAAAAUACAUUAUUAACUUUUAAGAAACGCCGACGUAUCAUUAAUGCAAAAAAAAUUAUGGAGUAUCUCAAAGUUGAACGUGAAAGGCCACGAAAAACCGUUAAUCUUUGGAAAAAUCAAAUUUUAUACAUCAUUUGGACAAACUACAAGUUUUGACUAUUAAAAUUAAAAAAAAUGAUCUUACACAAUUGAUUUAUGAAUCUACAUGCAUAAGAUUGUAAAAAAUUUAAGUAUUAUUUUUUAUGUUGGGACCACGUCCACUUAUUGACCGAUUUUUCCAAAACAACUGGUUUUACGUAUAUUUCACAAAGUAAAAAAAGCUUUAUCAUUUUAAAAAUACAUUAUUAACUUUAAAGAAACGCCGACGUAUCAUUUAUGCAAAAAAUAUUAUGGAAUAUCUCAAAAUUGAACGUGAAAGGCCACGAAAAACCGUUUUUCUUUGGAAAAAUCACAUUUUAUGCAUCGUUUGGACAAAGUACAAGUUUUGACUAUUAAAAUUUAACAAUUGUUAUCUUAUGCAACUGAUUUAUGAAUCUACAUGCAUAAGAUUGUAAAAAAUUUAAGUAUUAUUUUUUGAGUUGGGACCACGUCCACUUAUUGACCGAUUUUUCCAAAACAACUAGUUUUACGUAUAUUUCACAAAGUAAAAAAAACGUUAUCAUUUUAAAAAUACAUUAUUAAUUUUAAAGAAUCGCCGACGUAUCAUUUAUGCAAAAAAUAUUAUGUAAUAUCUCAAAGUUGAAUGUGAAAGGCCACGAAAAACCGUUAAUCUUUGGAAAAAUCACAUUUUAUACAUCGUUUGGACAAACUACAAGUUUUGACUAUUAAAAUUCAAAGAAAAUGAUCUUACACAAUUGAUUUAUGAAUCUACAUGCAUAAGAUUGUAAAAAAUUUAAGUAUUAUUUUUUGUGUUGGGACAACGUCCACUUAUUGACCGAUUUUUCAAAAACAACUAGUUUUACGAAUAUUUCACAAAGUAAAAAAAACGUUGUCAUUUUAAAAAUACAUUAUUAACUUUUAAGAAACAA